GCCGGCAUAGCUCAGUGGCAGAGCAGCGCUUUUGUAAAGCGAAGGUCGUCGGUUCAAAUCCGUCUGCCGGCU
Candidatus Synechococcus spongiarum is the source of this 72-nucleotide transfer RNA. It matches the Rfam family "tRNA". From Rfam's summary of the family: Transfer RNA (tRNA) molecules are approximately 80 nucleotides in length. Their secondary structure includes four short double-helical elements and three loops (D, anti-codon, and T loops). Further hydrogen bonds mediate the characteristic L-shaped molecular structure. tRNAs have two regions of fundamental functional importance: the anti-codon, which is responsible for specific mRNA codon recognition, and the 3' end, to which the tRNAs corresponding amino acid is attached (by aminoacyl-tRNA synthetases). tRNAs cope with the degeneracy of the genetic code in two manners: having more than one tRNA (with a specific anti-codon) for a particular amino acid; and 'wobble' base-pairing, i.e. permitting non-standard base-pairing at the 3rd anti-codon position. NCBI's taxonomy places the organism in Bacteria, Bacillati, Cyanobacteriota, Cyanophyceae, Synechococcales, Synechococcaceae. The record is from Rfam.